AAACAAAACAGAUGAAAGUAGGCGCCUCUCUGAAUCCUGGAAACGUGAAGAACCACCGGCACAAAAUACACACCUGACAUUAAAAUGUUUCAUUUUAUCUUCAAAACCUCUCUCCAUCUUCAACAAACCAGAACCCUGAAUGCCAAUAUCAGAUCCCUCACCACUCUCAGCAUUUGUGCCUACCCAGCACUCACAGACUAUCUCACAAACACUUUGGCUUUCACCCCAGAGUCAGCUCUUCAAGUCUCCAAGAAAAUCCAUGGUAGACCCCCCAACAAUCCCUACCCAGUCCACUCCCUCUUCGAACAUUACGGUUUUACCCCUACCCACAUAGCCAAAAUCAUCACCAUAUGCCCAUCCUUCCUCUGGGCAAACCCAGAAAAAACCCUCAAGCCCAAGCUAGACUUUCUCGCCCAAAAUGGCAUUUAUGGUCAAGACCUUGUAAGCACAAUCACCAACAACCCCAGAAUUCUAGAGCGGAGUUUGAACAAACAGAUUGCGCCCUGUAUUGGGUUCCUCAAGAGCUUUCUUGGGUCUGCCUCGGCUUUGUUGUCGCACUUUUCGGUCAAGCGUGGUACUGCGGUUGUGCUCAGAUUUUCUGACUCUAUGGGCGCGAACGCUGAGACUCUAAGACAACACGGUGUGCCUCACAGUAACAUUAUAAAGAUGAUCGCGUGCCAGCCACGGAUAUUUUCAAGGGAUGUUGAGGUUUUCAGUAAGAUUGUGAGGGAGGUUGAGGAACUGGGUUUCAAUCCGUUGAGCAUGAUGUUCAUCCAUGGCGUGUGUACGGUUUUUUCGAUGAGGAAGGACAAGUGGGUUUCAAAAUUUGAGGUGUUGAAGAGUUUUGGGUGGUCGGAGGCGGAGUUUCAGGCUUUGUUCUUGAAGCAACCCCCGGUAAUGAGGUCGUCGGAGGAGCGAUUAAAGAGGGCAUUGGACUUUUUCAUGAACAAGAUGGGGUGGGGCACUUCGGACAUUCUCAAGUACCCAGUUUUGCUUUGCUUGAGCUUUGAAAAGAGGGUGUUGCCGAGGUGGUCGAUACUUCAAGUUUUGAUUGCCAAAGGUGUUAUAACCAAGAGCAAGAAGACUACUGCGAAGGCAUUUAUGCAAACUGAGGACAAGUUUGUGAGCGAGUAUGUGAACGGAUAUGAAGAGCAUGCGCCUGAACUUUUGGAGAUGUACCAAAAAAAGCUCCAAGGUUUAUGAUAUGUGACUCUGUUUCCUUGCAAUGAGGGUAGGUUGGAUGGCUGGUGCGGUCCUGAGAUUGGUCAUCAAGGAGUUUGAAGGUUUUUCAUGGACCAAUUGCUUCUCAGUUCCCACUGUAUUUGUUGUGUCAAAAGAACAUGAUGGUCACUGUAUUUGUUUGAAGGUUUUUGUGUAUGUAAUAUUUUUGGGGCCUCCAUUUUCAGUUCCAUGCUACCUGUUUGGUUUCGACCCAAACAACAAAUUAACGAUGAGCAGCUGGCCUACUUCUCCAUUCAAGACAGCCCCUCCAUCAUUUAGGCCGUCACUCUUCUCGGCUUUUCCUCCGAGGCUUGGGUGGGUCUCAAUUCUUUUGUGAUGUAUCAACUCAUGGACCCAUGUCUACCCAUCUGAGGGCAUUUUAUGUUAGGUCUUUCAAGGAGGUUUCAAGUUUUGGGAGUCGAGGAGAUUUCAUGUAGAUGUUAUUGGAUCUUCAAAAGUCUUUUGAUUUGGAUACCAAAAGUAGAGAAAAUAUUGACAAUCAUAAUCUGAUUGAAAGGAGUUGUCUGGCUAAUCCAUGCUAUUGCCCUUGGGGUUUCUAGGACGCAUCUUUUUGUUCUAGGCAGAUCUUGAUGCUUAUGGACUCAAUGGAAUGAUUCGACCCUUUGAGGGUGCCGAAAUAAUGGGUUUGGUGAAA
Non-coding RNA from Prunus mume (Japanese apricot), 1876 nucleotides. Lineage: Eukaryota; Viridiplantae; Streptophyta; Magnoliopsida; Rosales; Rosaceae. The record is from RefSeq and is a predicted model, not a curated record.